This is a long non-coding RNA of Tachysurus vachellii, 831 nucleotides long. RefSeq lists it as uncharacterized. The transcript is spliced from 4 exons. The record is from RefSeq and is a predicted model, not a curated record. Lineage: Eukaryota; Metazoa; Chordata; Actinopteri; Siluriformes; Bagridae.
AACCUGCUGUGGAGAGGAGAUAAUAAUCUAGCAGAGGGUACAACUGAGGAUGGCGACUUCAGUCCAUGUGGCCAACCCAGAUGACCCUGAAAAUCGCCAGCAGGCCAUACUGGUGGAUGCUUAAUGGAUGCUCCACUGGAGUUGCUUAACCACAUGACCGCCCUAAGCAUGCAGGGAAGCUCCUUGCGAAAGAGGGGAUCCCCACACCGACGCAUCAGCAGUAUCUGGGGAAAAAUGGUCGUGCCAUUUGGCCAGUAUGAAAAUGUACCUUUUCACUGGCUUGUUUCAGUAAAGUAUAUUAUAUAUAUACAGGCAAGAACUUCCAUGCGUGACCCCUCAUCAUGGCCAGGUGAUGCUGCACUGUUAGAUGCAGGUCAGUCUGUGGAAGAUAUGCUCCCAAGAGCCACGGCAGUCAGAGCCAACUGUCAGAUCCAUGAAGUCCAAGUCCACUGUUCAUCCCCGGCAGUCUGAAUCACCAGCCACCACGCAGGAUCAUGUGACCCAAAAAGCUCAAUGAUGUUCAAUGAUACUGCAAUGCUGUGAUUUUUAAGCGUUGCCCCUUCCCCCCAAUAAAUCUAUUUUAAUAAAUAUAAUCAACACCUGGAGUAUAUAUUUUUUAAACACAGAUACUGUGUAGACUGCAGGUGAAGAAUGUCCCUCUGCUGAGCCAAAUAAAAGGCAAACCAUUAUCAUGAACACUGCAGCCUUUCACAAAAAUGGUCUAGUUCAAUGAUAUCAGAUAAUGUUGAACGUAUUGCAGAAGUUAUAAAUUUAAAAAUAACUUUUGGCACAAGUCCCUUCAUAAAGAGAUGUGAUUAAUGUAAAUAAAUC